This 439-nucleotide ribosomal RNA is filed under the name uncultured Thioprofundum sp. Its description in RNAcentral is "bacterial SSU rRNA". It matches the Rfam family "Bacterial small subunit ribosomal RNA", at positions 338 to 769 of the family's 1533-position model. Lineage: Bacteria; Pseudomonadati; Pseudomonadota; Gammaproteobacteria; Chromatiales; Thioprofundaceae. The record is from RNAcentral.
CCUACGGGGGGCAGCAGUGGGGAAUAUUGGACAAUGGGGGAAACCCUGAUCCAGCAAUGCCGCGUGUGUGAAGAAGGCCUGCGGGUUGUAAAGCACUUUCAGAAGAGAAGAAAAGCGCCGUGCUAAUACCACGGUGUCUUGACGUAACCUUCAGAAGAAGCACCGGCUAACUCCGUGCCAGCAGCCGCGGUAAUACGGAGGGUGCGAGCGUUAAUCGGAAUUACUGGGCGUAAAGCGUACGUAGGCGGUUAGAUUAGUCGGAUGUGAAAGCCCCGGGCUUAACCUGGGAAUUGCAUUCGAUACUGUCUAGCUAGAGUGUGGAAGAGGGAAGUGGAAUUCCAGGUGUAGCGGUGAAAUGCGUAGAUAUCUGGAGGAACAUCAGUGGCGAAGGCGACUUCCUGGUCCAACACUGACGCUGAGGUACGAAAGCGUGGGGAGC